GGAGAGGGAGAGGAUGGAAGAGAAGAGCAAGGAGAAAGACAAGAGCGGGAAAAACUGGCCUAAGCGGAUUCUUAAUGGCCUAAUGGAUUCCAAAAAUUUCUCCGAAUAAGAAAAAGUCAAGCAAAUUCAAGAGAAUAGCAACCCUGAGUGAGGAAAAAUAACUUAAAAGGUGCUAGAAUGCACGCCACUUAAAAACACCUAAGCAUUUCAGAGGAACUCACAGAAAGGAUAACUGCAAAACAGAGAGGCUGGGGCCGUGGAAAGUGAGGAGGAGAAAGGCCUCCGGCAAACCAGAAAGUGAAAAACUGCUCAAAAUUCAACUGGUACCCAAAUUACAGUGCCUCCUGCUCA
Molecule: long non-coding RNA, 351 nt
Organism: Fukomys damarensis (Damara mole-rat)
Lineage: Eukaryota; Metazoa; Chordata; Mammalia; Rodentia; Bathyergidae
Exons: 3
Source: RefSeq, a predicted model, not a curated record